RNAcentral lists this ribosomal RNA (424 nucleotides) under Savarna miser. RNAcentral's name for it is "partial 16S ribosomal RNA". Lineage: Eukaryota; Metazoa; Arthropoda; Arachnida; Araneae; Pholcidae. The record is from RNAcentral.
UUCUUUAAGUAUUAAUUUAAAGUAAAACCUGCUCAAUGAAUAUUUCAAUAGCCGCAGUUAUCCUGUGCUAAGGUAGCAUAAUCAUUUGCUUUUUAAUUAAAAGAUAGAAUGAAAGGUUAAACGAUAAAAUAUUAUUUCAUUUUAAUAAAUUAAUUUAUUAUUAAAGUUAAAAUACUUUAAUAUAAAGAUAAGACGAUAAGACCCUAAUAAACUUAAUCAAUUAAUUGGGGCAAUAAAUUAAUAAAUCUUUAAUUUUUAAAUAAAUAUAUAAAUUAAUAAAAAAUUUAAUUUAGUUACUAUAGGGAUAACAGCGUUAUUUUUUUUUAAAGUUCUCAUAAAAAAAAAAGAUUACGACCUCGAUGUUGAAUUAUUAAACCUAAAAGGUGCAAAAACUUUACAAGGAAGUCUGUUCGACUAUUAAAUU